Molecule: ribosomal RNA, 424 nt
Filed under: uncultured bacterium
Lineage: Bacteria
Description: bacterial SSU rRNA
Rfam family: Bacterial small subunit ribosomal RNA
Source: RNAcentral
GGGGAAUUUUCCGCAAUGGGCGAAAGCCUGACGGAGCAAGACCGCGUGGGGGAGGAAGGCUCUAGGGUUGUAAACCCCUUUUCUUUGGGAAGAAGAACUGACGGUACCAAAGGAAUCAGCCUCGGCUAACUCCGUGCCAGCAGCCGCGGUAAUACGGAGGAGGCAAGCGUUAUCCGGAAUGAUUGGGCGUAAAGCGUCCGCAGGCGGCCAUGUAAGUCUGCUGUUAAAACCCAGGGCUUAACUCUGGUCAGGCAGUGGAAACUACAAAGCUAGAGUUCGGUAGGGGCAAAGGGAAUUCCCGGUGUAGCGGUGAAAUGCGUAGAUAUCGGGAAGAACAUCGGUGGCGAAAGCGCUUUGCUAGGCCGAAACUGACGCUCAGGGACGAAAGCUAGGGGAGCGAAUGGGAUUAGAUACCCCUGUAGUC